RNAcentral lists this long non-coding RNA (206 nucleotides) under Elaeis guineensis (African oil palm). RNAcentral describes it as "long non-coding RNA (EGUI_LNC012801)". The record is from RNAcentral. Lineage: Eukaryota; Viridiplantae; Streptophyta; Magnoliopsida; Arecales; Arecaceae.
GAUAGUAGUCUAUCGAUGGAAAGAAAUUGGAGAAGAGUAAUACAAAAAAAAUGAGGAUCAAUUGAAAUAAAAAUCCACUUUGAUCACAACCAACCCAUUGGCUGGUGAUUAUACCUCAUCAUGUGACAUUGAAGCACUCAAAAGAACUGUGAAGGUUGGCCCAAAUCGAUAGUUGAUGGCGGCAAAAUACCAAAAUAGGGGAGAGG